CGUCUGCAGAAAGAAAGGCAAGACUGGGGUCUUUGUCUAGACUGGUUUUGGUCUACGUCUGCUUGCUGGGCCUAUAGCUUUGAUUUGAACUUGCUGAGGCAGAUCUGGUUUCCUUCGUUGAUUUUUUUAUAACAGGAUUAGAUUUUGCAGCUUCUUUCACAUCACAGAGACUCUUCUUUUGAGGCAGUGCAGGGAGGUGAGGGAGUAGAAGUGGUCUUUAUCUGAUCAGACACCUUCUGUAUCUUUUUAGAUGGUGAUGCUCAUGGAAGGUGAUGCUAGCAGUAAAGAAGAUAACUUCUUUCCUGCUGUUGGUGACACUUUGGCUGUGUCUCAAUUCAGGGUCUGCAUCCUACGUCGGCCGGUUACGUCACAGCGCCGCGACUAGGCCUGUCCCAAUUCGAAGACUCCUUCAAAUGCGGUCGACGAAUGCGGCCUUCUUUUCGCCUAAAUGAAGGAUGGGUCCGGUGUAUCCUUCAACAGGUAGCAUUUCCCAAGAUGCCUUGCGGGCCGGCCGGCAGAAAAACUUAAAAACAAUGGCGGACAGUGAAGCGGGAGCUGUCGGAGAGGAUUGCGCAUAUAAAUGUCAGUAUAAACUUGAAAACUGUUAGGUUAAGGACAUUUUUGUGAUACAUGAACGUUAUUUUAGUUAGAAAUGUUACAGUAAAAGUGCUUGUAUUGCGGUCUCGGCUCGUAUGUUCGGCCGCGCUCGGUGUCGUACUUCUCCCGCUACGUUUUCCCCCUGAUUUUAAUAGAAGUUUGUAUUUUAGGAACAAAAGAGAAAACCAGGGAAUUUAUUAAGCUUAGGGCGGAGAUGGACCACAUGAUCACCGGAGCAAAGUAUUCGGCGGCUGUGGCAUGGAGGGGAAGGUGCCAGCGAUGACCAGCUUCUGGAGCUGAUCAGGGAGGACAUGAGGCUGCAGAGGGCACAGGAGAGAAGGAAGAACUUUGACAGCUUUUUACUUUGCUAGAAAAAAAUGGUUAAGGAAGAUUAAACAUGUACAUAUAAAAGAAAUAUCUAAAUAAAAUCAGUUCUGCAUUAAA
Nothobranchius furzeri (turquoise killifish) is the source of this 1041-nucleotide non-coding RNA. NCBI's taxonomy places the organism in Eukaryota, Metazoa, Chordata, Actinopteri, Cyprinodontiformes, Nothobranchiidae. The record is from RefSeq and is a predicted model, not a curated record.